This 1238-nucleotide ribosomal RNA is filed under the name Micrococcus sp. DS4.pah.1. RNAcentral describes it as "bacterial SSU rRNA". It matches the Rfam family "Bacterial small subunit ribosomal RNA", at positions 90 to 1336 of the family's 1533-position model. The record is from RNAcentral. Lineage: Bacteria; Bacillati; Actinomycetota; Actinomycetes; Micrococcales; Micrococcaceae.
GAUUAGUGGCGAACGGCUGUCUAACACGAGAGUAACCUGCCGUUAUCUCUGGCAUAAGCCUGGAAAACUGCGCCUAGUACCGGAUAUUAGCGUCCGCCGCAUGCCCGGGAGUUGGAAAGAUUUAUCGAGUUUUGGAUGGACUCGCGGUUCUAUCAGCUUGUUGGCGAGGUAAUGGCUCAACAAGGCGACAACAGGUAGUCGGCCUGAGAGGGUGACCGGGCACACUGGGACUGACACACGGCCCAGACUCCUACGGGAGGCAGCAGAGGGGAAUAUUGCACAAUGGGCGCCAGCCUGAUGCAGCGACGCCGCGUGAGGGAUGACGGCCUUCGGGUUGAGAAACCUCUUUCGGUAGGGAAGAAGCGAAAGUGACGGUACCUGCAGAAGAAGCACGGGCUAACUACGUGCCAUCAGCCGCGGUAAUACGUAGGGGGCGAGCGUCAUCCGGAAUUAUUGGUCGUAAAGAGCUCGUAGGCGGUUUGUCGCGUCUGUCGCGAAAGUCCGGGGCUUAACCCCGGAUCUGCGGUGGGAACGGGCAGACUAGAGUGGAGUASGGGAGACUGGAAUUCCUGGUGUAGCGGUGGAAUGCGCAGAUAUCAGGAGGAACACCGAUGGCGAAGGCAGGUCUCUGGGCUGUAACUGACGCUGAGGAGCGAAAGCAUGGGGAGCGAACAGGAUUAGAUACCCUGGUAGUCCAUGCCGUAAACGUUGGGCACUAGGUGUGGGGACCAUUCCACGGUUUCCGCGCCGCAGCUAACGCAUUAAGUGCCCCGCCUGGGGAGUACGGCCGCAAGGCUAAAACUCAAAGGAAUUGACGGGGGCCCGCACAAGCGGCGGAGCAUGCGGAUUAAUUCGAUGCAACGCGAAGAACCUUACCAAGGCUUGACAUGUUCUCGAUCGCCGUAGAGAUACGGUUUCCCCUUUGGGGCGGGUUCACAGGUGGUGCAUGGUUGUCGUCAGCUCGUGUCGUGAGAUGUUGGGUUAAGUCCCGCAACGAGCGCAACCCUCGUUCCAUGUUGUCAGCACGUAAUGGUGGGGACUCAUGGGAGACUGCCGGGGUCAACUCGGAGGAAGGUGAGGACGACGUCAAAUCAUCAUGCCCCUUAUGUCUUGGGCUUCACGCAUGCUACAAUGGCCGGUACAAUGGGUUGCGAUACUGUGAGGUGGAGCUAAUCCCAAAAAGCCGGUCUCAGUUCGGAUUGGGGUCUGCAACUCGACCCCAUGAAGUCGGAGUCGCU